Non-coding RNA from Podarcis lilfordi (Lilford's wall lizard), 79 nucleotides. Lineage: Eukaryota; Metazoa; Chordata; Lepidosauria; Squamata; Lacertidae. The record is from the annotation of a GenBank genome assembly.
AGGGGAGACACGACUAGAGGCCAAGGUCAAGUUGAAAGCGGCAACCUAGCCAAUGCCAGGAUGGUCAUUCAGAGCCGGA